Molecule: non-coding RNA, 114 nt
Organism: Acanthosepion pharaonis
Lineage: Eukaryota; Metazoa; Mollusca; Cephalopoda; Sepiida; Sepiidae
Source: the annotation of a GenBank genome assembly
UUACGGCCAAAUCAUGUUGAAAUACCAAUUCUCGUAUGAUCACCAAAGUUAAACAACGUCGAGCCUGGUUCAUACCUGGAUGAGUGACCGCUUGGAAAUACCAGGUGCUGUAAU